UUUCACUUCUCCAGAUGUGAACUGAUGGACCGGAGUGCUGUGGAUUACUGUGAUGUUUUUAUCAGCUGUUUGGACUCUCAUUCUGACGGCACCCAUUCACAUCCAUUGGUGAGCAAGUGAUGCAAUGCUACAUUUCUCCAAAUCUGAUGAAGAAACAAACUCAUCUACAUCUUGGAUGGCCUGAGGAUCCCGUUUGUGUUCAGGUUUUCUACAGCUAUGGUCAGUCAUGCAGGAGCACUCACUAUGACCAACUAUACAGCCACCUGGUGAAAUCUGAUUUUAAUAAAAUCACACCGGUUCCAUCCCGCCUGCGCUAUUGAUCCUCUCAGUCCUGCCGACAGAAACUACACGCAGCUGUUUGAUCUGAGACAGACAGAUGUGCUUAAGACUAAAAGUGAUGGAGAAUUCUUGUCCAUGGAGAGGUUUGAGGGCUCUGGAUCACUUUGUUGCUUUCAUAGCUCACC
Molecule: long non-coding RNA, 464 nt
Organism: Cyprinus carpio carpio
Lineage: Eukaryota; Metazoa; Chordata; Actinopteri; Cypriniformes; Cyprinidae
Source: Ensembl